AUUGAACGCUGGCGGCAGGCCUAACACAUGCAAGUCGAGCGGAAGCAGAGAGGUGCUUGCAUCUUUGCUGUCGAGCGGCGGACGGGUGAGUAAUGCCUAGGGAACUGCCCAGUCGAGGGGGAUAACAGUUGGAAACGACUGCUAAUACCGCAUACGCCCUAGCUUUUGAAAGAGAGCGGGGGAAAGGAGGGGACUCUUCGGGGCCUUUCGCGAUUGGAUGUACCUAGGUGGGAUUAGCUAGUUGGUAAGGUAAUGGCUUACCAAGGCGACGAUCCCUAGCUGUUCUGAGAGGAUGAUCAGCCACACUGGGACUGAGACACGGCCCAG
This 327-nucleotide ribosomal RNA is filed under the name uncultured Shewanella sp. Its description in RNAcentral is "bacterial SSU rRNA". It matches the Rfam family "Bacterial small subunit ribosomal RNA", at positions 30 to 334 of the family's 1533-position model. The record is from RNAcentral. Lineage: Bacteria; Pseudomonadati; Pseudomonadota; Gammaproteobacteria; Alteromonadales; Shewanellaceae.